CUAAACUCUGGAGGGUAUUGAGUCACAACAAAGUUCGCUUCAAAACUUCCUUUUUGCCACUUAAUCUCUGUGACCUAGGGGAAGUCGCUCGGCCUCCCCGGCGGAUUUACACCACACUGAAGGGCAGAAAGGGGGAUUAAGGACAAGGAUGGAGGUGCUUAGCCUUGGCCCACAAGACUGCGACAGCUUCCACCGCCUCCGCGAAGGGUGGCCGGGGAGCGAGCAAAGAUGAGCGGCGGUCGCCUGCUACUCAGGUCCUCUGCUACCCACUCCUCACGCCCACCUCCUGCCCGGCCAGAGGCUAGGGCUGGAGAAGAAGCGUGCGUGGGAGCUCAGUCCCCGCGUCAUCGGAACUGGGAAAGCUCGCAGGGACGUGGGGUGCUGUGCCCGGAAAUCUCAAGGACGCCCUAUUGGACGCGUCAUUUUCGUCGGUUUAGGAUGGGUUGGGAGGGUUACUCGUACAAUCUAGUUGCGAACCAUAACUCAACUCUUCCCUUGGAGCCGCGGUGUCGGCAUUUACCUUGAUAUAGCCAAAUGACUGGCAAGGCCUGUCCGCCUUGUCUCGACGCCUGCCCCUCACCUUGGCCCGCGGGCUUAUGGGAACUGUAGUCCCCCGGCGCUUCCGGCCAUCUUCCUCCUGUUCCGGUUUGGUAUCUCAUUGUAGCCCACCCUCCCGGUGUCUGGCGGAAGUGCCUUUCUUCCGGGUUUCGUUUGGGAGAUUUUUUUCCGAAGUGCAUCGAGUACUCGGAGCAAAAAGGAAUAUCGGUAAUUUCUCUAACAGGCGUAUUCCCUGACAGCAGGUUGAGGUUGGUGUUGCGAACAGUGUCACCUGAAGAGUUCCCUCAGGGCUCAUUUCCCCUGUACUCAAAAGUGACCAGGUGUUAAGUACCCCAGAAAAAAUAGAGGACUCACUGAUAAAUCAAAAGACAAAACGUUCUUGAGAGUAAGCACAGGCAUCGGGAGAGAAUCGCUGACGAGUGCCUCACCACCUACGUCUGUCUGAUAUUUGGCAAAGCAUGUGAUGUCCUCCAGAAGCCCUGGAGGAUGUUUACAAAUGAGGAAAUGAAAAAAAUGAAACUUGAUGGCUGCUUGCGCUUGGUGUGGUGUGUGGAGCAGAGGAACACCGCCCCGGGGAUACUGUGGCUGGUGACACUCCCCCAGAGGAGUCGGAGUGAGAUUUAUUGAAGUUAUGUUCCUGAUCCUCUGGUAUACAUCCUGCAAUCUGGGAAUGGAAGGUGAUUAUAGUGACAGUUAAUGAUUCCUGGCUUCUUGAUAGACCUGCUGCACAGAUUUCCCUGAUAUCUACGUAAUCUUCUGCCUUGCCAGCAUCUUGAAAGGUCCAAGCUUCCAGACAGCCAGUUCCAUCGAGCCCAAAAAACACGGAAGUAACCAGCCAACCCAGGACGUGGUCAAACACCUCAACUCUCCAAUGCCCACAAAAUCAGCAGGAAGCAGUCUUGAAAGACCUGAUGAAACGUGCAUUCCCACCCAUUAAAGACCCCAAAUCUUUAUAAUAAACUCUCCAAAUCUUUAUAAUAAACAAAAGGGUGGAAUGUUAUGGUUCCAGCCACACAACGGUAGUGGAAAUUUCCGGGUUCCAGGGCCAUGACUGUGCAGACAAGUGCUCAGGCAAAAUACUUAGCCACCCUGCGACCUUAAAAGGCCUUGCAUGACCUACAUGCAGUAUGGUUGCAUCACCUACGUAUGAUGCAGCUACAUGAGCCCUUGCAUGCAUGCGUGAGCUCGGUCAUCUGCGUGUGACAUAGCUACAUCAACCCCCGUGUGCAUGUACUAGGUAGGCUUUAAAAGCUGGAUGCAGAUUCUCCAAACUCUCUCUCUUUCUCUACUUCCCCAGGCCUGUGGACACGUGUCUCUCUAAUCAACUCGUAAGCAGGUUCUCUUUCUCUACUUCCCCAGGCCUGUGGACACGUGUCUCUCUAAUAAACUCGUAAGCAGGUUUCAUUGUGUACUUUGUUGUCACUCAUGCCAGGUAAUCUCACUAAGAAGAGGGAAAAGCUACAAAAUCACCUAAAACUGAGAAGCAGGAAGUUUGCUUAUGUGAUGGAUAACAUUAAUUGAAUAGGCAACCCUUGCUGCUUGACAAAGUUCUAGCAUUUGAGCAUUGCAGACCAUACUUCUCCAGCACCUUUUUACUUGUUUUUAAUGAUUCUCACUAUUAAUGCCUGUUCCUUUGGAAAUUUUGUAUGGGCUUUGGUAAAGUAUAAAAUGUGUACAAUGGUAACCUCUCUAAAUAAUUCUUUGGAAAAAAUUCUGACACCAUAAUACCAGGAAUUCCAUUGUUCCCUUUAAGUUAUACCAAGAAUAGGAAAGUUAGAGAUUUACUAGACGCACCUGAUCCCAAAGAUGAAAUGCCUACAGUUCAGAUCCCAAGCCUGAGGUCAUUAGAGUAAGAGAUCCAUUAAUAAAUACAGAGGAAUCAUAAUCACACAGUUUAAUGGGAAAUGGGUAAGACAUUAGGACCUUCCCUUUUGGGAGCCUCAUGAGGGGAACAGUCUGUUUCCCAGAAGUCCUUUUCUCAAGGCCAGGCAUUUGAAUAAGGGUCUUUAUUCCCUUGGGAUCCUGAGGAAAUUUUCUGCUUGAUAAAGGGUCAUUCUUCUCUCUGGCAAGAGGAACUUGUGGCCCUUUUAUUAACGUGUGACUGGUGCCUCUUGUCAAGGUCAAGGCUCUCUUCCUCAACCCCUGAUCUCAAGCCACACCCCAGUUUAUGCGCCACUUUCUUCCCAUUUAAUCCUAUGCACAAUAAAAAGUGUAGUUUUGUUUUAGCUAAACUCACCGGCAGCUAACCUAAUUCACCCUCAGAUCUUGUCCAUGUCCCUCCCCACAACUCUACACAACCUCUUUGGGAUCUGAAUGCCCCCACCCUGCCAAAGCAGG
Molecule: long non-coding RNA, 2895 nt
Organism: Arvicola amphibius (Eurasian water vole)
Lineage: Eukaryota; Metazoa; Chordata; Mammalia; Rodentia; Cricetidae
Exons: 3
Source: RefSeq, a predicted model, not a curated record